RNAcentral lists this long non-coding RNA (286 nucleotides) under Sorghum bicolor (sorghum). Its description in RNAcentral is "long non-coding RNA (SBIC_LNC007058)". The record is from RNAcentral. Lineage: Eukaryota; Viridiplantae; Streptophyta; Magnoliopsida; Poales; Poaceae.
UAUAUUAGAUACAAACUGUCCAUCAACUCUACCUUUAACAAAUAAUGCUUUGAGAUGUUGUCUCUCAUUAUCAGUAGGUUUCUCAAAGACAACCAUCAUUGGAUCUAGUGCCAGCUGAGCUACUUGAUCGGAGGGAACUACUUCUUCCUCAUCAUCAGAAGGUGCCAGAAACUCCAUCGGCAACAUAAACACCAUAUUAAUAUAUGCCGAUGGGCCCUUACCAUUAUGCUUCGACUGCCCCUGCUGAUCUUCGAGCUUCUUAUCAAAAGAGCUUUCCUCUCUGUAC